This 442-nucleotide ribosomal RNA is filed under the name uncultured Prevotella sp. Its description in RNAcentral is "bacterial SSU rRNA". It matches the Rfam family "Bacterial small subunit ribosomal RNA", at positions 355 to 794 of the family's 1533-position model. Lineage: Bacteria; Pseudomonadati; Bacteroidota; Bacteroidia; Bacteroidales; Prevotellaceae. The record is from RNAcentral.
UGAGGAAUAUUGGUCAAUGGGCGAGAGCCUGAACCAGCCAAGUCGCGUGAGGGAAGACGGUCCUACGGAUUGUAAACCUCUUUUGUCGGGGAACAACAGGGGGCACGCGUGCCUUUGUGAGUGUACCCGAAGAAAAAGCAUCGGCUAACUCCGUGCCAGCAGCCGCGGUAAUACGGAAGGUCCGGGCGUUAUCCGGAUUUAUUGGGUUUAAAGGGAGCGUAGGCCGCCUGGUAAGCGUGUUGUGAAAUGUCGUUGCUCAACAACGUCACUGCAGCGCGAACUGCCGGGCUUGAGUGUGCGGAAAGCGGGCGGAAUUUGUGGUGUAGCGGUGAAAUGCUUAGAUAUCACGAAGAACUCCGAUUGCGAAGGCAGCUCGCUGUAGCAUUACUGACGCUGAAGCUCGAAGGUGCGGGUAUCGAACAGGAUUAGAUACCCUGGUAGU